AGUGAACGCUGGCGGUAGGCCUAACACAUGCAAGUCGAACGGCAGCACAGAGGAGCUUGCUCCUUGGGUGGCGAGUGGCGGACGGGUGAGGAAUACAUCGGAAUCUACUCUGUCGUGGGGGAUAACGUAGGGAAACUUACGCUAAUACCGCAUACGACCUACGGGUGAAAGCAGGGGAUCUUCGGACCUUGCGCGAUUGAAUGAGCCGAUGUCGGAUUAGCUAGUUGGCGGGGGAAAGGCCCACCAAGGCGACGAUCCGUAGCUGGUCUGAUGGGAUGAUCAGCCACACUGGAACUGAGACACGGUCCAGACUCCUACGGGAGGCAGCAGUGGGGAAUAUUGGACAAUGGGCGCAAGCCUGAUCCAGCCAUACCGCGUGGGUGAAGAAGGCCUUCGGGUUGUAAAGCCCUUUUGUUGGGAAAGAAAUCCAUCUGGUUAAUACCCGGGUGGGAUGACGGUACCCAAAGAAUAAGCACCGGCUAACUUCGUGCCAGCAGCCGCCGCCG
RNAcentral lists this ribosomal RNA (506 nucleotides) under uncultured bacterium. Its description in RNAcentral is "partial 16S ribosomal RNA". It matches the Rfam family "Bacterial small subunit ribosomal RNA", at positions 29 to 523 of the family's 1533-position model. The record is from RNAcentral.